This 446-nucleotide ribosomal RNA is filed under the name uncultured bacterium. RNAcentral describes it as "partial 16S ribosomal RNA". It matches the Rfam family "Bacterial small subunit ribosomal RNA", at positions 338 to 795 of the family's 1533-position model. The record is from RNAcentral.
CCUACGGGGUGCAGCAGUCGAGAAUCAUUCACAAUGGGGGAAACCCUGAUGGUGCGACGCCGCGUGGGGGAAUGAAGGUCUUCGGAUUGUAAACCCCUGUCAUGUGGGAGCAAAUUAAAAAGAUAGUACCACAAGAGGAAGAGACGGCUAACUCUGGGCCAGCAGCCGCGGUAAUACAGAGGUCUCAAGCGUUGUUCGGAAUCACUGGGCGUAAGGCGUGCGGAGGCUGUUUCGUAAGUCGUGUGUGAAAGGCGCGGGCUCAACCCGCGGACGGCACAUGAUACUGCGAGACUAGAGUAAUGGAGGGGGAACCGGAAUUCUCGGUGUAGCAGUGAAAUGCGUAGAUAUCGAGAGGAACACUCGUGGCGAAGGCGGGUUCCUGGACAUUAACUGACGCUGAGGCACGAAGGCCAGGGGAGCGAAAGGGAUUAGAUACCCCGGUAGUC